UGCGUAGGCGGUUCCGUAAGUUCGGUGUGAAAUCUCCCGGCUCAACUGGGAGGGUGCGCCGAAAACUGCGGUGCUUGAGCACGGGAGAGGAAAGCGGAAUUCCUGGUGUAGCGGUGAAAUGCGUAGAGAUCAGGAGGAACACCGGUGGUGUAGACGGCUUUCUGGACCGUUGCUGACGCUGAGGCACGAAAGCGGUGGGGAGCAAACA
Molecule: ribosomal RNA, 208 nt
Filed under: uncultured bacterium
Lineage: Bacteria
Description: partial 16S ribosomal RNA
Rfam family: Bacterial small subunit ribosomal RNA
Source: RNAcentral